AAGACUGACAAAAGGUUCUGACUGACAUAACUAUAAACUUAGAGUCUCUCAUCUAUGGAGAGUUCACUGGGAAUAUUUGUACAGACUGUUUUGACUAGCAAGAUAAUGCUGUCCUCCAUACCAAGCUAAAGUAUCAGCACUGUUAUGAACUCAUGAUCUGAAAGCCUCCAUAAGAUCUCAGAGAAUGAAACCAAUCACCUAACAGAAGUGUUUUAUUUUCAUCAAUAUUUGUAAAAUUAUAUGCACACAGAAGAGUUCCCAAAUCUGUAUAUAAGUAC
Molecule: long non-coding RNA, 278 nt
Filed under: Anser brachyrhynchus (Pink-footed goose)
Lineage: Eukaryota; Metazoa; Chordata; Aves; Anseriformes; Anatidae
Description: lncRNA (ENSABRG00000000471.1)
Source: RNAcentral